RNAcentral lists this ribosomal RNA (489 nucleotides) under Escherichia coli. RNAcentral describes it as "partial 23S ribosomal RNA". It matches the Rfam family "Bacterial large subunit ribosomal RNA", at positions 1 to 529 of the family's 2925-position model. The record is from RNAcentral. Lineage: Bacteria; Pseudomonadati; Pseudomonadota; Gammaproteobacteria; Enterobacterales; Enterobacteriaceae.
GGUUAAGCGACUAAGCGUACACGGUGGAUGCCCUGGCAGUCAGAGGCGAUGAAGGACGUGCUAAUCUGCGAUAAGCGUCGGUGAGGUGAUAUGAACCGUUAUAACCGGCGAUUUCCGAAUGGGGAAACCCAGUGUGUUUCGACACACUAUCAUUAACUGAAUCCAUAGGUUAAUGAGGCGAACCGGGGGAACUGAAACAUCUAAGUACCCCGAGGAAAAGAAAUCAACCGAGAUUCCCCCAGUAGCGGCGAGCGAACGGGGAGGAGCCCAGAGCCUGAAUCAGUGUGUGUGUUAGUGGAAGCGUCUGGAAAGGCGUGCGAUACAGGGUGACAGCCCCGUACACAAAAAUGCACAUAUUGUGAGCUCGAUGAGUAGGGCGGGACACGUGGUAUCCUGUCUGAAUAUGGGGGGACCAUCCUCCAAGGCUAAAUACUCCUGACUGACCGAUAGUGAACCAGUACCGUGAGGGAAAGGCGAAAAGAACCCCGG